RNAcentral lists this ribosomal RNA (253 nucleotides) under uncultured bacterium. RNAcentral's name for it is "partial 16S ribosomal RNA". It matches the Rfam family "Bacterial small subunit ribosomal RNA", at positions 524 to 776 of the family's 1533-position model. The record is from RNAcentral.
UACAGAGGUCCCAAGCGUUGUUCGGAAUUACUGGGCAUAAAGGGUGCGUAGGCGGUUUGUUUAGUCACUGGUGAAAGUUUUCGGCCCAACCGGAAAAUUGCCUGUGAUACUGGCGAACUUGAGUGCGUGAGGGGUGGGGGGAACGAGCAGUGUAGCGGUGAAAUGCGUAGAUAUUGCUCGGAAGGCCGGAGCCGAAGGGGCCCCACUGGUACGUAACUGACGCUGAGGCACGAAAGCGUGGGGAGCAAACAGG